This 1154-nucleotide ribosomal RNA is filed under the name Chediminae sp. LB-2014a. Its description in RNAcentral is "SSU rRNA". It matches the Rfam family "Eukaryotic small subunit ribosomal RNA", at positions 618 to 1794 of the family's 1831-position model. Lineage: Eukaryota; Metazoa; Arthropoda; Arachnida; Araneae; Palpimanidae. The record is from RNAcentral.
GUUAAAAAGCUCGUAGUUGGAUCUCAGUCGCAGACGGGCGGUCCGCCUACCGGUGGUCACUGCCUGUUCUGGACAGUCAGCCGGUUUCCCUGGAUGAUCUUCGCCGGUUGUCCUGGGUGACCGGCACGUUUACUUUGAAAAAAUUAGAGUGCUCAAAGCAGGCGCGACGCCUGGAUAAUGGUGCAUGGAAUAAUGGAAUAGGACCUCGGUCUUAUUCUGUUGGUCUUUGAGACCCGAGGUAAUGAUUAAGAGGGACAGACGGGGGCAUUCGUAUUGCGGCGCUAGAGGUGAAAUUCUUGGACCGCCGCAAGACGAACUACUGCGAAAGCAUUUGCCAAGAAUGUUUCCAUUAAUCAAGAACGAAAGUUAGAGGUUCGAAGGCGAUCAGAUACCGCCCUAGUUCUAACCAUAAACGAUGCCAGCCAGCGAUCCGGAUGUGUUCCUCAAAUGACACUCCGGGCAGCUUCCGGGAAACCAAAGCCUUUGGGUUCCGGGGGAAGUAUGGUUGCAAAGCUGAAACUUAAAGGAAUUGACGGAGGGGCACCACCAGGAAUGGAGCCUGCGGCUUAAUUUGACUCAACACGGGAAAACUUACCCGGCCCGGACACAGGCAGGAUUGACAGAUUAAGAGCUCUUUCUUGAUUCUGUGGGUGGUGGUGCAUGGCCGUUCUUAGUUGGUGGAGUGAUUUGUCUGGUUAAUUCCGAUAACGAACGAGACUCUAGCCUACUAAAUAGACGCUCCGAUGUGUCGUCGUCGGGCGUUCUUCUUAGAGGGACAAGCGGCUUUUAGCCGCACGAGACAGAGCAAUAACAGGUCUGUGAUGCCCUUAGAUGUCCGGGGCCGCACGCGCGCUACACUGAAGGAAUCAGCGUGUGCUUUCCUUGUCCGACAGGACUAGGUAACCCGCGGAACCUCCUUCGUGAUUGGGAUAGGGGCUUGUAACUGUUCCCCUUGAACGAGGAAUUCCCAGUAAGCGCGAGUCAUAAGCUCGUGUUGAUUACGUCCCUGCCCCUUGUACACACCGCCCGUCGCUACUACCGAUUGAAUGAUUUAGUGAGGUCUUCGGACUGGCGCUCGGAGCGGCCAUCCGGUUCGCGCCGGCGUGCCGGAAAGAUGACCAAACUUGAUCAUUUAGAGGAAGUAAAAGUCGUAA